Molecule: ribosomal RNA, 644 nt
Filed under: uncultured prokaryote
Description: bacterial SSU rRNA
Rfam family: Archaeal small subunit ribosomal RNA
Source: RNAcentral
ACGGCUCAGUAACACGUGCCCAACCUACCCUCGGGAGGGGGACACCCCCGGGAAACUGGGGCCAAUCCCCCAUAGGGGAAGGGCGCUGGAAGGCCCCCUCCCCGAAAGGACGGCGGCCGAUCCGCCGCCGCCCGCCCGAGGAUGGGGGCACGGCCCAUCAGGUAGUUGGCGGGCUAAAGGCCCGCCAAGCCGAAGGCGGGUAGGGGCGGUGAGAGCCGCGAGCCCCGAGAUCGGCACUGAGACAAGGGCCGAGGCCCUACGGGGUGCAGCAGGCGCGAAUACUCCGCAAUGCGGGCAACCGCGACGGGGCUACCCCGAGUGCCGGGCGAAGAGCCCGGCUUUUGCCCGGUCUAAAAAGCCGGGAGAAUAAGCGGGGGGCAAGUCUGGUGUCAGCCGCCGCGGUAAUACCAGCUCCGCGAGUGGUCGGGGUGUUUACUGGGCUUAAAGCGCCCGUAGCCGGCCCGGCAAGUCGCUCCUGAAAUCCCAGGGCUCAACCCUGGGGCGGGGGGCGAUACUGCCGGGCUAGGGGGCGGAAGAGGCCGCCGGUACUCCGGGGGUAGGGGCGAAAUCCGUUAAUCCCCGGAGGACCACCAGUGGCGAAAGCGGGCGGCCAGAACGCGCCCGACGGUGAGGGGCGAAAGCCG